Molecule: ribosomal RNA, 827 nt
Filed under: uncultured microorganism
Description: bacterial SSU rRNA
Rfam family: Bacterial small subunit ribosomal RNA
Source: RNAcentral
AAGUCGAACGGUAACAGGAUUAGCUUGCUAAUCGCUGACGAGUGGCGGACGGGUGAGUAAUGCUUGGGAAUUUGCCUUUGCGAGGGGGAUAACAGUUGGAAACGACUGCUAAUACCGCAUAACGUCUACGGACCAAAGGGGGGACUUGUUCCUCUCACGUGAAGAGAAGCCCAAGUGAGAUUAGCUAGUUGGUGAGGUAAAGGCUCACCAAGGCGACGAUCUCUAGCUGUUCUGAGAGGAAGAUCAGCCACACUGGGACUGAGACACGGCCCAGACUCCUACGGGAGGCAGCAGUGGGGAAUAUUGCGCAAUGGGGGGAACCCUGACGCAGCCAUGCCGCGUGUGUGAAGAAGGCCUUCGGGUUGUAAAGCACUUUCAGUUAUGAGGAAAGGUUGGUAGUUAAUACCUGCCAGCUGUGACGUUAAUAACAGAAGAAGCACCGGCUAACUCCGUGCCAGCAGCCGCGGUAAUACGGAGGGUGCGAGCGUUAAUCGGAAUUACUGGGCGUAAAGCGCACGCAGGCGGUUUGUUAAGCUAGAAGUGAAAGCCCUGCGCUCAACGUGGGAAGGCCUUUUAGAACUGGCAGACUAGAGUAUUGGAGAGGGGAGUGGAAUUCCAGGUGUAGCGGUGAAAUGCGUAGAUAUCUGGAGGAACACCGGUGGCGAAGGCGACUCUCUGGCCAAAUACUGACGCUCAUGUGCGAAAGUGUGGGUAGCGAACAGGAUUAGAUACCCUGGUAGUCCACACUGUAAACGCUGUCUACUAGCUGUGUGUGUAUUUAAUACGUGCGUAGCGCAGCCAACGCGAUAAGUAGACCGCCUGGGGAG